AUACUUACCUGGCAGGGGAGAUACCAUGAUCACAAAGGUGGUUUUUCCAGGGCAAGGCUUAUCCAUUCACUGUAAUUUCUCCAAAUGUGGGAAACUUGACUGCAUAAUUUGUGGUAGUGGGGAACUGCGUUUGUUAUUUCCCCU
Otolemur garnettii (small-eared galago) is the source of this 144-nucleotide small nuclear RNA. Its record names the gene U1. It matches the Rfam family "U1 spliceosomal RNA". Rfam says of the family: U1 is a small nuclear RNA (snRNA) component of the spliceosome (involved in pre-mRNA splicing). Its 5' end forms complementary base pairs with the 5' splice junction, thus defining the 5' donor site of an intron. There are significant differences in sequence and secondary structure between metazoan and yeast U1 snRNAs, the latter being much longer (568 nucleotides as compared to 164 nucleotides in human). The record is from Ensembl. Lineage: Eukaryota; Metazoa; Chordata; Mammalia; Primates; Galagidae.